Molecule: ribosomal RNA, 440 nt
Filed under: uncultured bacterium
Lineage: Bacteria
Description: bacterial SSU rRNA
Rfam family: Bacterial small subunit ribosomal RNA
Source: RNAcentral
CCUACGGGAUGCACCAGUGGGGAAUAUUGGACAAUGGGCGAAAGCCUGAUCCAGCCAUGCCGCGUGAGUGACGAAGGUCUUCGGAUUGUAAAGCUCUUUUGGCGGGGACGAUAAUGACGGUACCCGCAGAAUAAGCCCCGGCUAACUUCGUGCCAGCAGCCGCGGUAAUACGAAGGGGGCUAGCGUCGUUCGGAAUCACUGGGCGUAAAGCGCACGUAGGCGGAUUUGCCAGUCAGGGGUGAAAUCCCGGGGCUCAACCUCGGAACUGCCCUUGAUACAGCAAAUCUCGAGUCCGGAAGAGGUGAGUGGAAUUCCUAGUGUAGAGGUGAAAUUCGUAGAUAUUAGGAAGAACACCAGUGGCGAAGGCGGCUCACUGGUCCGGCACUGACGCUGAGGUGCGAAAGCGUGGGGAGCAAACAGGAUUAGAUACCCGUGUAGUC